RNAcentral lists this small RNA (108 nucleotides) under Arabidopsis thaliana (thale cress). RNAcentral's name for it is "ATSL098980". The record is from RNAcentral. Lineage: Eukaryota; Viridiplantae; Streptophyta; Magnoliopsida; Brassicales; Brassicaceae.
UUUUAAGAAGAUAUUAAAAUGAUUUACAAAGGUUUUUAAAAUCCUUGUAAAUCUUUUAAACCAUUUUACAAGGAUUUACAAGCUUCUUCUUGCUUCUCAAAGCUUUUA